GUGGGGAAUAUUGGACAAUGGGGGGAACCCUGAUCCAGCCAUGCCGCGUGUGUGAAGAAGGCCUUUUGGUUGUAAAGCACUUUAAGCGAGGAGGAGGCUACCGAGAUUAAUACUCUUGGAUAGUGGACGUUACUCGCAGAAUAAGCACCGGCUAACUCUGUGCCAGCAGCCGCGGUAAUACAGAGGGUGCAAGCGUUAAUCGGAUUUACUGGGCAUAAAGCGCGCGUAGGUGGCCAAUUAAGUCAAAUGUGAAAUCCCCGAGCUUAACUUGGGAAUUGCAUUCGAUACUGGUUGGCUAGAGUAUGGGAGAGGAUGGUAGAAUUCCAGGUGUAGCGGUGAAAUGCGUAGAGAUCUGGAGGAAUACCGAUGGCGAAGGCAGCCAUCUGGCCUAAUACUGACACUGAGGUGCGAAAGCAUGGGGAGCAAACAGGAUUAGAAACCCCGGUAGUCC
RNAcentral lists this ribosomal RNA (451 nucleotides) under uncultured bacterium. RNAcentral describes it as "partial 16S ribosomal RNA". It matches the Rfam family "Bacterial small subunit ribosomal RNA", at positions 354 to 796 of the family's 1533-position model. The record is from RNAcentral.